GAUGAACGCUGGCGGCGUGCCUAAUACAUGCAAGUCGAGCGAACGGACGAGAAGCUUGCUUUUCUGAUGUUAGCGGCGGACGGGUGAGUACACGUGGAUAACCUACCUAUAAGACUGGGAUAACUUCGGGAAACCGGAGCUAAUACCGGAUAAUAUUUUGAACCGCAUGGUUCAAAAGUGAAAGACGGUCUUGCUGUCACUUAUAGAUGGAUCCGCGCUGCAUUAGCUAGUUGGUAAGGUAACGGCUUACCAAGGCAACGAUGCAUAGCCGACCUGAGAGGGUGAUCGGCCACACUGGAACUGAGACACGGUCCAGACUCCUACGGGAGGCAGCAGUAGGGAAUCUUCCGCAAUGGGCGAAAGCCUGACGGAGCAACGCCGCGUGAGUGAUGAAGGUCUUCGGAUCGUAAAACUCUGUUAUUAGGGAAGAACAUAUGUGUAAGUAACUGUGCACAUCUUGACGGUACCUAAUCAGAAAGCCACGGCUAACUACGUG
Molecule: ribosomal RNA, 496 nt
Filed under: uncultured bacterium
Lineage: Bacteria
Description: partial 16S ribosomal RNA
Rfam family: Bacterial small subunit ribosomal RNA
Source: RNAcentral